AUUUCAUAGGGUAGCCAAAGUCCGUAUGAUUCUUUGGCUUUGUAUCUUCUAACAAGGAAACAUUACUUAGGCUUAUAAGAUCGGGUUGCGGUUUAAGUUCUUAUACACAAUCAUACACAUGACAUCAAGUCGUAUUCGACUCCAAAACACUAACCAACCUUCUUCUUGCGUCUCAAAGAUUUCAUGUUGUAGCCAAAGUCUGUAUGAGUCUUUGGCUUUGUGUCUUCUAACAAGGAUCCAAUUCUUACGCCUUUAAGAUCCAGUUGCGGUUUAAGUUCUUAUACUCAAUCAUACACAUGACAUCAAGUCAUAUUCGACUCCAAAACACUAAAAAAUCUUCU
Molecule: small RNA, 341 nt
Filed under: Arabidopsis thaliana (thale cress)
Lineage: Eukaryota; Viridiplantae; Streptophyta; Magnoliopsida; Brassicales; Brassicaceae
Description: ATSL267780
Source: RNAcentral